GUAGUAACAGAGAUGAGAGACUGUAGACAGACGGUAGUAACGGAGAGGAGAGUCAGUAGACAGACGGUAGUAACGGAGAGGGGAGCGACAGUAGACAGACAGUAGUAACGGAGAGGGGAGCGACAGGAGACAGACGGUAGUAACGGAGAGGAGAGAGACAGUAGACAGACGGUAGUAACGGAGAGGAGAGAGACAGUAGACAGACGGUAGUAACGGAGAGGAGAGAGACAGUAGACAGACGGUAGUAAUGGAGAGGGGAGCGACAGAAGUAACAGAGAGGAGAGAGACAGUAGACAGACGGUAGUAACAGAGAGGGGAGUCAGUAGACAGACGGUAGUUACAGAGAGGAGAGUCAGUAGACAGACGGUAGUAACGGAGAGGGGAGAUAGUAGACAGACGGUACUAACGGAGAGGAGAGACAGUAGACAGACGGUACUAACGGAGAGGAGAGAGACAGUAGACAAACGGUAGUAACAGAGAGGAGAGUCAGUAGACAGACGGUACUAAC
Oncorhynchus tshawytscha (Chinook salmon) is the source of this 508-nucleotide long non-coding RNA. NCBI's taxonomy places the organism in Eukaryota, Metazoa, Chordata, Actinopteri, Salmoniformes, Salmonidae. The record is from Ensembl.